GGCCGUUCCACCCGCGUCGUCGAGCUGGGAGGAGGCAGGCGCGUCCACCUCCUGGAGGGAGGGUGAGGAAUUUGAAGAGUUGUGGAUUUGGAUCUGCAGGUGUCCAGCCCCCCAUCCCCGUCCUCUCUCCAGGCAAGUCCCACAGAUUGAUCUGUGGACCAGAUCAAGUGGCACCCAACGUGGGGCUCGACCUGGCAUGAGAGAUUUCGAUGCGGGACCGUUCAUGGGAGUAAAUCGCCGGCUGGCGUGACUGUUUCGGGACUUUGUCCCUGUGAUCCGUGCGGAUGGCCACCUUACGUUUCGCCUGAAUCAUGAAAAAUACUGACCAUAACAUCUCAUGGACAAUCAUCGGAUUUCUAACACGAUUACACCUGUGCACAACGACUGAUAAUCCCUAUCAACCUAUGGACCGUCCAAAAAUGGGACGGGCUCCAAGGAGACUGGUGCCCCGUUACUACCUGGCAGGGAUCUGGAAGCCCUAGCCUUCGAUUUGAUCCCUGUUAUGUCAUUCCAAUGUCUUCAGGAAAAUUUUGCUAUAAGCAGCCUUUGUACAUGUGCCCCUCGCCAACAUUAGGAAAAUCUUAUUGGCACUCCCUGGGCCAUUAUUUUUGUGCCUAGUGGGGUUGUGAAAUGGUGGUAACAUCCGGCUGGUCUCCCCCAAUCUCUGACACUCAUGUCAUGCUCGGCUAUGAGCCAAGAGGAUAUAAAAUAUGGGGGUGGGGCUCCCGCCAAACUGCUAACUGCGGAAAUGUGACCCUCAAUGUCACCACACCCCAAGAACAAGGCUGGACUUCGGGGCAUACCUGUGGCAUUCAUUUCUACAAACAGGGCCACGACCAUAGAAACCUUAUCCAAAUUCUAAAAAACCCAUUACAACACACCUCUCUCAGUGGGCCCAAAUCCGGUGCUGGUCCCACCCAACGACCAUAGGUCUCUUGGUCAGGUGGUAACUUCACCCCCAUUGACAACUGCCUGCCCCUCUUUAAGCUCUCCCCAAACUUUCUCAGCCGCUCCAGCACCUUUAAGUUCCACCCUUGCUCCACACUUUAACUUGUACAACCUAAUUCUGGGGCCUAUGUUGGCCUUAAUCACACCCAACCUGAUCUCACCCAAACCUGUUGGCUAUGCUUGGUUGCUCCUCCUCCAUAUUAUGAAGGAAAGGCCCUCAAUUUAACCUUUAACAGUUCUUCUAGCUCAUCUGCCUGUGACUGGGGCAAUCACCACAAGUUGACUCUCCCUGACGUCUCCGGUAGAGGGACCUGUCUUGGGGACUCCAGCCACCCACCAGCACUGGCAGUACGACCUGUGCCCAGCUUCAUUCAGAGUUCCAACCAAACAAUUACCUCAUCCUUCCCCCAGGAGCAUCUUGGGCCUGCAAUUUUGGCCUCUCACCCUGCAUAGCAACUACUGUUUUUAACAAGUCUACAGGUUUUUGUGAUCUUGUACAGGUUCUUCCUCGCAUAACAUUCCACCCAGGAGACUACUACCUCCAGGCAUCACAAAUUGGCUAUAUGUAUAAAAAAGAACCUGCCACGCUCACCUUAGCUGUAUUACUAGGGUUAGGAGUCGCAAUGGGGAUAGGAACAGGGACUACAGCUCUAGUGUUGGGAAAUCAACAUCUAGCUCAAUUACAGGUGGCAUUAGAUCAAGAUUUAAAAGAAAUAGAAAGAUCUGUAAUGGCUUUAUACAGGCAUUCCUGACGUCUUUAUCUGAGGUAGUCCUACAAAAUAGAAGAGGACUAGACCUCUUAUUUAUGAAGGAGGGUGGCUUAUGUGCUGUCCUCAAAGAACAAUGCUGUUUUUAUGCCAACCACUCAGGAGUCGUCAGAAAGUCCAUGGCUAAGCUAAGAGAACACCUCAAAGAGAGAAAAGGAGUGCCUCAGAGAAACUACCUUCUCUUCCAUGUGGGGGGGGGUCUCUUCCCUUACAUUGCCCCCCUUUUGGGAUCACUAGCUGCUUUAUUGCUACUCCUUACUGUAGGCCCUUGUAUUUUCCAGAGGAUCAUGACACUCCUUAAUAACAGGAUUGGCGCAUUUAUGGCAAAGCCCAUUCAGGUAUAUUACCAUCAAUUGGACAUGGCAGAACAACAAACUUAUCAGGAAAGAACAUCCACUGCUUGACCACAUAAUGAUGUGGUCGUAAUGCCUUGAGGCACUGGAUGGGCAGACAGAGAUGGGCAACUUGGACAUUUGUGUCACACGGCCAAGCCAUCUAAGACAGGCACAAGACAAACUGCUGUCCUGCAGGCCCAAGACGGGAAAGGCCUGGUUGGGGUCACAAAUAGAGCCGUGACCCAAGACAGGUGCCGUCCUCACAAGGCCUGCCAUACUCUUGAUAUUAUAAAUAAAAAGGGAGGAGAUAUAGGGAGUGGCAUAUCUCACUGCUGCCACCUUAUCUCACCCUCCUGUGGGCCUCUGCCACAUCCGCCUACAUUUCCCAUGAUCCUCACAUCUGCCUACAUUACCCAUAAUCCUCUCCUGCUCACGUCAUAUAUCCGGAUGUGACAAUGACCUAUCAGAUAGCACUCCAUGCCCUCUUCCUGCACUGUUGGCCCAUCUCCAUCCUAUAUAAUAGUUGUCACCAUUUUCAGAAUAAACGAGACUUGAUUGG
Cavia porcellus (domestic guinea pig) is the source of this 2609-nucleotide long non-coding RNA. RefSeq lists it as uncharacterized. The record is from RefSeq and is a predicted model, not a curated record. The transcript is spliced from 3 exons. Lineage: Eukaryota; Metazoa; Chordata; Mammalia; Rodentia; Caviidae.